GCACGCAAUAGGGGGUGCCUUUACUCGACUAGUCGAGAUUAAAUACAGGCUGAGAUUAUACCCAUUGAACCUGAUGCAGAUAAUGCUGCCGCAGGGAGGUAUGUUAAACAAUUGU
This 115-nucleotide non-coding RNA is filed under the name Roseivirga misakiensis. RNAcentral's name for it is "Fabibacter misakiensis TPP sequence". It matches the Rfam family "TPP riboswitch aptamer (THI element)". Rfam says of the family: Vitamin B(1) in its active form thiamin pyrophosphate (TPP) is an essential coenzyme that is synthesised by coupling of pyrimidine and thiazole moieties in bacteria. The record is from Rfam by way of RNAcentral. Lineage: Bacteria; Pseudomonadati; Bacteroidota; Cytophagia; Cytophagales; Roseivirgaceae.